Molecule: long non-coding RNA, 1472 nt
Filed under: Pogona vitticeps (central bearded dragon)
Lineage: Eukaryota; Metazoa; Chordata; Lepidosauria; Squamata; Agamidae
Description: lncRNA (ENSPVIG00000002331.1)
Source: RNAcentral
AUCUUUUCCCAUAGUGCACUUACCACUACUUUGCAUACUGUUGUAGAAGCAAUACUACUGUGUUAAACAUUUAUGAUCUGUUGCUUUUGAUCAAGUUUUUUACAGACAGAAUUACACAAUUGGUGCAGAGCAAAUACUUGCACAUGCUCAGAUGGAAAAGGUUUUGUCAGCACAGCAGUGUUGUUGAACAGUUCUAUUCGCUCUACCAGAAACAAGUGGCUCACAUCAUGGAGGAGUAUGAUGAUGCUGUUCAAAGAGCUGUGAGACUGUCAAGUGCACGGGAGAACUUCCUGACAGGAAAGACAAAUCCUGGCAAUUUAAUCACCCAGGAAGACCUGGCAAUUUACACACAAUGGCUCAUAUGUCACCUCCACUCACUUAAGACUAUUCACAACUACCUCAAGGUACUCCAAUACUUGCCUGUUUCUCACAGGAUGGAAGUGGGCAUUGACAGAGCUCCACCCUGGAAUGAUGGGGAAACAUUCAGAACCCUCCCCAAAAUGGAAUUCUUGUCCCCCAACAUUCACUUUCCUGUUUGCUCUGGGACAUCCACCACCAAUGGAACCUUGCUGAGAGAUGCAUUCUCUUCACUUCCCCAGCACAAUGCAGAAACUGAAGAACUGAAGCCUCAGCUGAGACUUUUGCUGUCUCAGUUAGGUAUCAGCUAUGAUGUGGAAGACCUCAGGCAUUCUGCUAAUGAGAUGGAACUCUUUUCCAUGGUCACACGUAAGUUUAGAAGCAUUUUCAGUGAGCAGCAGACAAUGAGGACAUUCCCUGUUUAUGAUGUUGGAAUGCCUGGAUUGGAAGCUUGGGGUAUAGCAGGCCCCCACAUGUCUUUGAAAAAGAGAGCCAAUUGGAUUCCCUAUAUAAAGAUUAAAGCUAAACAAGACCCCUGGCAACAAAAGCUCCUAAUGAAACUGAGACAAUCAAAAAAGGUGGAUGGACUCUUGCUGCUUCAGGCAAAGUUUUUAGAGGUUUCCAACAUGGAGUGGGUGAUGCAGGCUCUCCAAGAGCAAGCAACAGCGAUACCGCAGCCAAAGCCAAUGACGUCAGUUUCAAUGACUUCUUUCAAUUCACAACAAUAUGAAGAAAUCUGGGAAAAGAUUUAUUGCAGCCCAGAAUUCUACCAGGAAAAACAAACAAAUGGAGAUUAUGAUAGCCCUGCCAAGGCAACUGAUAAAAGAGUCAUGGAAGAUGGCAGCCUUAAUGAAGGGUACAGUUUUUCAAGAAAGAAAAAAGAUGCCAGUUACACAACCACCUUGCAACUGCUUGGGUUAGAUGAGGACACAGAAACUAACAGCCUGGACCUUGGCCCAAGGAAAGGAGCUUAUUUGUCUCUCCUUUAUUUACGUCACUUGAGAAUCAGACAACUGCAGGUAAACAAAAACUAUGUGUAUGAAAUAUAUUAUUUAAGGCUGUUAAGACAGCAUACAGUGUUGUUAAUUCUUCUGAAUGCUUUUUCUUAUUGUUAA